Molecule: unclassified non-coding RNA, 20 nt
Filed under: Chlamydomonas reinhardtii
Lineage: Eukaryota; Viridiplantae; Chlorophyta; Chlorophyceae; Chlamydomonadales; Chlamydomonadaceae
Description: small RNA Cre_1156
Source: RNAcentral
CCUGCAGUGAGCCUAUCACA